RNAcentral lists this ribosomal RNA (253 nucleotides) under uncultured bacterium. RNAcentral's name for it is "partial 16S ribosomal RNA". It matches the Rfam family "Bacterial small subunit ribosomal RNA", at positions 524 to 776 of the family's 1533-position model. The record is from RNAcentral.
UACGUAAGGUGCGAACGUUGUUCGGAAUCACUGGGCAUAAAGAGCACGUAGGCGGCUUGGUAAGUCUGAUGUGAAAUCCCUCGGCUCAACCGAGGAACUGCAUCGGAUACUGUUGAGCUAGAGUGCGGUAGGGGAGAGUGGAAUUCCAGGUGGAGCGGUGAAAUGCGUAGAUAUCUGGAGGAACACCGGUGGCGAAAGCGACUCUCUGGACCGUAACUGACGCUGAGGUGCGAAAGCCAGGGGAGCAAACGGG